This 229-nucleotide ribosomal RNA is filed under the name uncultured bacterium. Its description in RNAcentral is "partial 16S ribosomal RNA". It matches the Rfam family "Bacterial small subunit ribosomal RNA", at positions 111 to 334 of the family's 1533-position model. The record is from RNAcentral.
UAACACGUAAAGAACCUGCCUCAUAGACUGGGACAACUAUUGGAAACGAUAGCUAAUACCGGAUAACAGCAUUAACUGCAUGGUUGAUGUUUAAAAGUUGGUUUUGCUAACACUAUGAGAUGGCUUUACGGUGCAUUAGCUAGUUGGUGGGGUAAAGGCCUACCAAGGCGACGAUGCAUAGCCGACCUGAGAGGGUGAUCGGCCACACUGGGACUGAGACGCGGCCCAG